Non-coding RNA from Oryctolagus cuniculus (rabbit), 2442 nucleotides. NCBI's taxonomy places the organism in Eukaryota, Metazoa, Chordata, Mammalia, Lagomorpha, Leporidae. The record is from RefSeq and is a predicted model, not a curated record.
CGCAUUCCAUCCAACCCUCCUCUUGGUCAUCUACUACCUCUACAAGCAGUCCACGUUUGACCCUGACACUAUUCAAGAUCUUUAUCAAUUCUGUUCUCAAGGGCUUUUUCCAGUGAACUCUAUUGCAUUCAGGACUUUGGGAUGGCUCUGUAUGCAGAUGAAGCCAAUAAUGCACUACAAGUUCCAACUUAGAGAAAGUAUGGUUAAUCAAGGUUACUAAGAGCAGAAAGUAAUUCUAAUCAGUUGCUCUACCUCCAACAAGAGAUGAGCAAGAGAUGAGCAGCCUUUCUCCCAGUCUUGGUGGGAUCAGCUUCACAGCCUCUCUCUCCUCGGUAGUGAUCUCAAGAACAGCUUUGGGCCACAAUGUUAUCUCAACCAACACUCCAAAACAACUCCAACAGUUAGCAGAGGAGGUCACUAGGUCCACUGAGACCUCCGCUUACUCCAUUCAAGGUCUCCAAAGUCAAAUCACCUCACUAACGGAUGAUUGCUUUAAAGCUAUUUUUGAAGAGAGGACUUGAAAGAGGAGAAUGGAUCAAUCACUGUUUAGCCUGCUAGACCCUCUUUGAUGUACAGUAACCAAAAGUCAUUCUCGUCACAUCACAGAAGGUUUAGGUGAGGUGUGGAAACUCGGUCGAGUGUAUUGAGUUUAAAAAGAAUGACAUGUUGCCUGACCUCAAGAGUAGCAGUGUAAGUCAGCUGUUUUCAGCAUCACAGGUAUGGCCUUUUAGACAAGUUUGCUCCCCAAGAGCCUUCUUUUCAUUUUGCCAUUUUUAAUAAUGAAACUGGAACAACUAAACUUUGAGCAGGAGGCUAUUAUUAUAUUCAGCAGUAUUAGUUAGCUGGGUGGCACUGGAAUGGCUCAAUAGUUUGUCCAGGUUUGGUGACCAUCCUGAUGGGUUGAUAUCUGUGCCACCACAGUUGUCAAAUAUUUUACUUCAUAUAAGAUAUUUACCAGAAUUCUUAGUCACCAAUGGACUAACUACUAUAAUCAUUAUUAAUUAUUUGUGGGUUUGUUUAAUAUCUUUCCCUCUCCUUCAACACUCACCUCUUGAGAGAACAGGGUAUAAUGUCUUCUAACUUCUCUGCAUAGGGCAGUUCUUGUCAUAUAAUAGUCACUCAAUAAAUACAUUUUUUGAAUGAAUUAAUGAAUUGGGACUUCCCCAUAUAGUCACAUUUUAGGAUUUGUGUCAGUCCUAGAAGGAUAGUCACUUUCAUUUCUUUAUAGCAUCAGCUGUGUAUCCUUUCAGAGUAAUUUUGACAUUGAAUACAUUAAAAACUGGAAGAACGUUUUUCACUGUGGAUUGUUAUUUGAUCUCCAUGUUUUUCAGAACGAUGUCUCUAUGAUCCACUUUGCCUGUUGCGUGGAGCUCAACAUCUUUAGAAUGAAACCUCCAGUCUUCGUCAGGGUAGGGAAGGAGCCGUAACUCAGCCGCUUGGAGUGGAGGACAGGAUCCAGGGCUAGGGAGCCAACUGAGAGUGAGGAUUUCAGCUCUCCUGUUUUCAGUAUUAACUGAAUAUCCAUCUUCAGAGGGUCGCUGUACCUACGAUUCCCUAGCUAUUCAAGAGUCACUGAUAUGGAUCAUAUUGAGCCUGGGCUACCCAAGCUGCCAGUCUUGGUUUCAGCUUUCUCUGAUCUGCUAGAUUAAAGUUAUGCUGUGAUUUCUCCUCUUACGUUUUUCCUGUCUUUAUAUUGUUUUAGUCCCUUUACUGUCAUGUUAGUGUGGUUUUUGGAAGAAGCACAGGCCAAACAAAGUAUGAGUUUUGUUUAUUUCAUAGAUUUAAUAUACUUCUCUCACUUUUUAAACAUGAAAUUUUUGUUAAUAAGCAAUAUAUUUGUGUACAUAAAGUAUAUUUAUAUGGCAUAUACAAAUGUAUGCAUAUAAAAAAGGGGACUUCAAAGACUCUGUGGAAAACUAAAUUGAAAUAUAUGUUUAUUUUGAUAGAAAAAAUUUGAAAUCUAUGCAUACAAGGGGUCUUCAAGAAGAUCAUGAAAAUGCAUAUUAUGAAAAACUAUUCCUGGAUUCAAUUUUUUUCCACCAAAGCAAACUUACUUUAACUCAAUGUUUUCCACAAACUGCCCAUGUGUACACACCAUAAAUACACACACUCACACACACAAUAUAACAGAAUGGUAAAUGAGUAACCAUGCACGUCACUGAAUUUAAGCAGUGCCCCAGGUGCUCCUUCCUAUGUCCUCCUGCCUCCCCUGUUAAUGGUAACAGCUAUUUCAAAUUGUGUGUUUAAAAUUCCCUUGUCUUUCAAUUUCAAUCUGUGUGCUUUUGCUAAUUUAAGCUAUGAUAAUAACCUAAAUCAAGAAAUGUUGAUUUUUUUUCCCCUCAAGUACAUAUCAGGUGCAGAUUGGCUGCGUUUCUGUGGGUCAGCUUGGCCUCUGCUCCAUGCCUUCACACCAGGGCUCAGGCUAAAGGGGGAACCCUAUUU